CAACCCAAGGACAGGGGAUGCGGUGAGUAGACUGUCCCGGUUCAGUUUGAGGGUCAACCAGCGGUGUAUCUUCUCCAGGAUCUUCUCUAACAGUAAGCUGUCCUUUCUUCCGUUAUAGAGUAUCUCCCCUUACGCGUGGUUUCAGUUUCGCUUUCGGCAGUUUCAGAAACCCGCCAGUCAACCCUGGCAGGAAGCAGAUGAUUCUGACGAAUCAUCAGAAAGCCAAUAGCAGCCUAACUCUGCGUCAGGAAGCUGCGUCAUUCCCCGCACUUCCUUUCUUCACGUAGGCGUUUUAUGAUCUCACGUCAGCACAGGAAGAAGGAGGGAAACUAAGGCUGAGAGGUGAUUUGAUCAAGGUCAUCCAGCAAGUGUUGGAUGGAGGUCUAGAGUCCAGAAUUUGACUAUUAAAGAGCAGAAUCAAGAAAAGGCAGAGUUGGCUCUGGCUGGUGCAUGGAGAUGAGAUUCUGAAGAGGACCAGAGCAGAAGGAGGGAAAUCAGCAGAAGCAGGAGUUGCAGUAAUGCAGCCUGUCUUGGGGAGGACACCAGCAGGAACCCAUGAGGCUAGCCCUUCAACUUGUUCAGGAGGAAAACUGUCGAAUUGAGAGCUCAGAGAGAAUCAUUGUUUAAAUCUCAGGGAUACUGGUCUAGAGAUUACAGAAAGCAGGCAUGCCACCACUUACAAGGAAGACGUGCGGGAUAUUGAAUUCAUAUCCUGAACUACUGUUGACCAGACAAACCAAAGCUCAUGCCCUGAGAAUGGUGGGCUGUCCAGAACAUGGAGCUAGUUACCUGCUCACUAUGACUAACCAUUAAAGACUGAUAACUUGCUGUCCUUGGAAACUCUUUCUUGUGACCUUACAUCAUGAAAAUUCACCUUGCCUUAAAGAGGAAGUGAACCCCCCUGACCAGGAUGCUAUUAAAUCAAUUGGAGAAAAAGAAAUCCUCAUUAACAAGUAAAAAUGUCACCUGAAUCUGAAGAGCAGCCCACCCAUGUUCAUCUUUAGUUUGUGACGCUGAUGUCAACAGUGGCAGUUGCAUGUUAACCCAGUGCCCUUAUCAAAACAGAGAAAUGAAGAGGGUCAGUGCCAAGUCAGUGACUUCCCAUAUGGUUGCAAGAGGUAGAGCCAGGAUUUGAAACUCAAGUUCUGAUUCCAGGGCCCUCCCUUGCCAUUUUAUCAUGUGGCCCCAUUGCAGUUUGUGUAUAUUUGUCCAACCUGUGUUGAGUAUUUUAUUGAUCUUUCAU
Acinonyx jubatus (cheetah) is the source of this 1243-nucleotide long non-coding RNA. RefSeq lists it as uncharacterized. The record is from RefSeq and is a predicted model, not a curated record. NCBI's taxonomy places the organism in Eukaryota, Metazoa, Chordata, Mammalia, Carnivora, Felidae. The transcript is spliced from 9 exons.